UACCUGCAGCUCGAGUGGUAACCGCUAUUAUUGGGCCUAAAGCGUCCGUAGCCGGUUUGGUAAAUAUCUGGGUAAAUCGUGAGGCUUAACUUCACGAAUUUCGGAUAGACUGCCAGACUUGGGAUCGGGGGAGGUCAGAGGUACUCCAGGGGUAGCGGUGAAAUGUUGUAAUCCUUGGAGGACCACCGGUAGCGAAGGCGUCUGACUAGAACGAGUCCGACGGUGAGGGACGAAGCCCUGGGGCGCAAACCGGAUUAGAUACCCGGGUAGUCCAGGGUGUAAACAAUGUGGGCUUUGUAUUGGAGGUCCCACGUGGGCGUCCAGUGCAGAAGAGAAGUUGUUAAGCCCACCGCCUGGGAAGUACGGUCGCAAGGCUGAAACUUAAGGAAUUGGCGGGGAGCACAGCAACGGGAGGAGCGUGCGGUUU
Molecule: ribosomal RNA, 427 nt
Filed under: uncultured archaeon
Lineage: Archaea
Description: bacterial SSU rRNA
Rfam family: Archaeal small subunit ribosomal RNA
Source: RNAcentral